Megalobrama amblycephala (Wuchang bream) is the source of this 649-nucleotide long non-coding RNA. RefSeq lists it as uncharacterized. NCBI's taxonomy places the organism in Eukaryota, Metazoa, Chordata, Actinopteri, Cypriniformes, Xenocyprididae. The record is from RefSeq and is a predicted model, not a curated record. The transcript has 3 exons.
CACAAUAUUAAUAUAUUAUUUUUCUGAAAUGGCAAUAAAUAAAUAAAUAAAUAUAAAUUAUUAAUAAUAUGACAUCACGUGAUUAAUUCUAACCAAUGAGACUGCUGGAACAGCAUCCAUGAACUGUCAUUCCGGAAUCGACUGGUACCGCAAACAGAUCAUUGGUUCUGCUCUUAUUUAUUGCCAUCUCGUCCUGUUUGCAGAAUUAACUGUGCCUCCAGCCAUUAAGCAGACCUGAACCAGUUGAUGAAGGUCUUCAGGAUCACCAGAAACUACAGGCAGGUGUGUGAGAAAGUUGGAGCUACAUACUGCAGGACGUUGGUCCUCCAUGACCAGGACUGGACACCACUGUUGUAAGUGAUCGAUCUAGCAGUCAAUCUGAUUCUCUGAAAGUCAUGUUCAUAACAUAUUGUAGGUGAUCUCAGCUCUGGCCCUCGAGAACCACUGUCCUGCAGACUUUAACACCAAACCUGGUCCAAUAUACCUGGGGCCGUAUUCACGAAAUGUUUUAUCUUACAACUAAAAGUUCUCCUAAAUAGCAGUAAAAAUUCUCAGGUAAGAGUUUUCACUUAAAGGAUUAGUCCACUUUUAACUCCUGAUAAUUUACUCACCCCCAUGUCAUCCAAGAUGUCCAUGUCUUUCAUUCUUC